RNAcentral lists this non-coding RNA (22 nucleotides) under Xenopus tropicalis (tropical clawed frog). RNAcentral also lists the same sequence under 3 other names. Lineage: Eukaryota; Metazoa; Chordata; Amphibia; Anura; Pipidae. The record is from RNAcentral.
AGUGCAAUGUUAAAAGGGCAUU